Small nucleolar RNA from Crocodylus porosus (Australian saltwater crocodile), 83 nucleotides. The record is from Ensembl. Lineage: Eukaryota; Metazoa; Chordata; Crocodylia; Crocodylidae.
CAGAUGCAAUGAUGAUAACAUAGUUCAGCAGAAUGUACAAUGACGAGUACUGCUUUGUCUUUCGCUCCUAUCUGAUGUAUCUG